This is a long non-coding RNA of Symphalangus syndactylus (siamang), 1613 nucleotides long. RefSeq lists it as uncharacterized. The record is from RefSeq and is a predicted model, not a curated record. Lineage: Eukaryota; Metazoa; Chordata; Mammalia; Primates; Hylobatidae.
ACUGGCAGGCAGCUCCAGAUGUAGCCCCCGUGCGGGAUCCACUGGGUGAAGCCAGCUGGGCUCCUGAGUCAGGUGGAGACGUGGAGAACCUUUAUGUCUAGCUCAGGGAUGGUAAACACACCAAUCAGCGCCCUGUCAAAACAGACCACUGGGCUCUACCAAUCAGCAGGACGUGGGUGGGGCCAGAUAAGAGAAUAAAAGCAGGCUGCCCGAGCCAGCAGUGACAACCCGCUCGGGUCCCCUUUUACCCUGUGGGAGCUUUGUUCUUUCGCUCUUUGCAAUAAACCUUGCUGCUGCUCACUCUUUGGGUCCACACUGCUUUUAUGAGCUGUAACACUCACCGCGAAGGUCUGCAGCUUCACUCCUGAAGCCAGCGAGACCACGAGCCCACCGGGCGGAACGAACAACUCCAGACGUGCUGCGUUAAGAGCUGUAACACUCAGUGCGAAGGUCUGCAGCUUCACUCCUGAGCCAGCGAGACCACGAACCCACCAGAAGGAAGAAACUCUGAACACAUCCGAACAUCAGAAGGAAAAAACUCUGAACACCGCCUUUAGAACUGUAACACUCACCGCCAGGGUCUGCGGCUUCAUUCUUGAAGUCAGUGAGACCAAGAACCCACCAAUUCCGGACACAUAAGCAAGGAAAAGGAAACAGUUUAUGAUUUGGGCUGCCCUAAGAAUUAAAACAGAUUUGGAGAGACUCCAGGGCUGUGGCAUGGCCAGAUAAGAUUUAUGGACAGAAAAAGGAGAGUGAUGUACAGAAAACAGAAGUGAGGGAAGCUAUUGAUGUGAGGAAUUUGAAGGUUUCUGGAGGAAGAAGGGUUUGGAAAAUUUGAAGUGAACCUCUUUUGGGAAUUAAAAAGAACAUCAGAAGAACAAUAUAAUAAUAUGAAGAAUUUGAACAACCUAUCAACAAGCUUGAUUUCAUGGGCACACAUAGAACUGUAUUUCCAACAAUCAGAGGAUACACAUUAUUUUCUACUAUAUCUGAAGCUUUAAAUACUAGAGUUUUAUUUAUUUCAAAGAAUGUUAUACAGAUCUCAGUAUUAUUAAGAUAGAAAUAAAUUAAGCAAUGAAUUUCACAGUCUUCAUCCAUUUGGUAAUGGAUAACAAAUAUUUAGAGCUGACUAAUAAUAAAAUUAACAUAAAAUAAAACCAAGAAUAUUGAAUCUUUUGAAGGGGUAUGUGUGUGUCCUUUAAUGCUUAAAAUACAAAAAGUCUGAAAAUUAAUUUGCUGGUCAUUCAACUUAAGAUUUUACACAAAGAAUUAGUAAAAUAAAUUCAAGGAAAAUAGAAUAAAAGAUAAUAAAUAGGAUAAAUUAAUGAAAUAGAAAACAUACAAUGAAGAGAAGAAAGAAAGAAGAGACAAGUAAUACAUAUAAUCCUGUGGCAGAAUUUACUAAGUCACAAAGACAAAGCCAAAGUAAAAUAAUAUUAUGCAUAAUUUUUAACAAAAAAUGUGAAACAGAGAAAAUGUAUAGAUUUGUAGAAAAAUUAAAACCUAUUAAAACUGACUCAAUAAGAAAUGGAAAUUCAGAUUAGUAAUUUUAAACCUCCCCAUAUUAAAAAUAGUAAGCUAAAUUUUAUCAAUGAAUUCUUUAAAUUUUUAAG